RNAcentral lists this ribosomal RNA (739 nucleotides) under uncultured bacterium. RNAcentral describes it as "bacterial SSU rRNA". It matches the Rfam family "Bacterial small subunit ribosomal RNA", at positions 60 to 759 of the family's 1533-position model. The record is from RNAcentral.
AGUCGAGCGAGUCUGCCUUGAAGAUCGGAGUGCUUGCACUCUGUGAAACAAGAUACAGGCUAGCGGCGGACGGGUGAGUAACACGUGGGUAACCUGCCCAAGAGAUCGGGAUAACACCUGGAAACAGAUGCUAAUACCGGAUAACAACAGAUGAUGCCUAUCAACUGUUUAAAAGAUGGUUCUGCUAUCACUCUUGGAUGGACCUGCGGUGCAUUAGCUAGUUGGUAGGGUAACGGCCUACCAAGGCGAUGAUGCAUAGCCGAGUUGAGAGACUGAUCGGCCACAUUGGGACUGAGACACGGCCCAAACUCCUACGGGAGGCAGCAGUAGGGAAUCUUCCACAAUGGACGCAAGUCUGAUGGAGCAACGCCGCGUGAGUGAAGAAGGGUUUCGGCUCGUAAAGCUCUGUUGUUGGUGAAGAAGGACAGGGGUAGUAACUGACCUUUGUUUGACGGUAAUCAAUUAGAAAGUCACGGCUAACUACGUGCCAGCAGCCGCGGUAAUACGUAGGUGGCAAGCGUUGUCCGGAUUUAUUGGGCGUAAAGCGAGUGCAGGCGGCUCGAUAAGUCUGAUGUGAAAGCCUUCGGCUCAACCGGAGAAUUGCAUCAGAAACUGUCGAGCUUGAGUACAGAAGAGGAGAGUGGAACUCCAUGUGUAGCGGUGAAGUGCGUAGAUAUAUGGAAGAACACCGGUGGCGAAGGCGGCUCUCUGGUCUGUUACUGACGCUGAGGCUCGAAAG